Long non-coding RNA from Zalophus californianus (California sea lion), 1882 nucleotides. RefSeq lists it as uncharacterized. The record is from RefSeq and is a predicted model, not a curated record. Lineage: Eukaryota; Metazoa; Chordata; Mammalia; Carnivora; Otariidae. The transcript is spliced from 4 exons.
UAGAUGCUUUCAAAAUACAGCCAGCAGAAUUGGCUCUACAUAGGAGCAAAGACUACCCACUCACAGUAACAGGAGGGAAGGUAGAGAAUGUAGGCACAGACACGUGUGAGGCAAAUGGGCUGAUGCCGCUUCGGGAAGUUCUACGUGACUGUUUCUCCUUUCUCUGAGAAAGAGGAAGCAAUGAUGGAAGAAGGGGUGGCAGUUUAAAGAGAGGAAAAUACAUGAAAUACUUCCUUAGGAAAGCUGGAGAGUGACUAGAUCAGGGGGAUGACUCCUGAGCAGUUCCAAGAGUCUGUUCCAGUUGAGGAGUCAUGAACAUAAAGUCAUCCCGGUCAGCACAGCUGUGUGUUUACCUCCAACCAGGUUCAGCUGGUCAGAAGCAGCCUGGGAGAAGUGAAGGGGUGGCUCUCACUGAGAUUGGAGUUUUCAAGGAACAUUCAAUCCAAGGGCCCUGUGAACCCGGUGGUUCUGCCCUGAUCUGCCCUGCUUCCUUUUUCCCACUCAAAGCACUACCAAGAUAAGGAAACGAGCCAGAGAAACAUGUUAAAUGACACUGUGGAGGUGGAUGCAACUAACCAAGUUCAGAAUGUGGAAAAGAUGAAAAGGCAAUGACCUUCAAUAAACCAAUUGCAGAGAACACACAAAAAUGGAGGCAAUAUAGAUUAAAAGAGAUCAAGAGAUGUACCAAACCAAUUCUUUGCUAUUUCUUCCAUUGAGAGUUGGAUUCUAAUUUCCCUCCCCUUGAAUCUGAGCUGGCCUUAGUGACUUGCUUGACCAGUAGAAUGUAGUGAAAAUGACAUCCUGGGAAUUCUGGGACUAUUUCAUAAGAAGCCUGGGAGUUGCCAGAUGGGGCCACUUGCAGCACUGUCUCUGGGAUUCCUGAGCCUCCAUGUAGGAAGUCUAAGUACCCUUAGAUCGGUAUGUUACAGAGGCCAGAAUAUAUAGGCACAGGUGCAGUCAUAUGAAUGACACCAUCCUGGAUCCUCCAGACCAACCAUAGUCGAUGUGGAAUGGACCAGAAGGAUUACUCAGCCAAGGAUUGCUCAAAUUACUAAUCUAUAAUAUGAUAAGGAAACUGAGCCUCAGGAAGAUGAACUGACUCAUCAAAGAACCCACUAGCAAGUGAAAGGCCAGAAUUUGAACCUGUCCUCAUCUAACUCCAAAACAGCUCUGAGCUUAAAACUCCAAAGGUCUGGAAAUGAAGAGACUUUUACACAUGACACCCUUAAUAUUCUAUUUAUUUUGAAUAUGAUUAUGUUAGGGCUUAGUUAACUCUCUGCAGAUUAAGAGAGAUUUUUCAGACUAAAGAUAACAAUUAAAUGUAAAGUCCUAUGCAAUCUGUGUCUGGGGAUUUGUAAGACCUGCUCAGUUUAAAGGUGGUGAAAAAAAGAGUGUUCUUAGCUGCCAGACAUGGAGGCCUAUGGAAUGGUCCUGUCAAAAAGGGGAAGGUAAGUGCUAACAUCCACAUCUGACAGGUGAGAAACACAACUCAAUAACAGGCUCACACAAUUUUCUUAGUGCAAAUGUCACCAAGAGUAAAACAGAUAGUCCAGUGAUCAAAGACAAAAUCCUGUGUGUAACUCUAAUGAAAGGUACAUUAUAAUUGAGCCACCUUAAUUUAAAAAAAUAAAAAGUUUGAUUCAGCUAUGUUGGCUUAGGAAGUGUCUACUUCAUCUCCUAAAUGGAGAGUGCUCAUCUGGGUUCUCUUCUUUGAUAAGUCUGUGCCUUCAGGGUGCUCAAAAAUCAUUUUGCUACAUCCUGAAAAAUGAGGCUUAAAGAAAAGAGUUUUAUAAGAGAUGGUCUGCAUCUCCCUGAGGCAGACUCUGCAUCUAAACUAUCAUAACUUACUUAUUUGUUUAUUUUUAAAGAUUUAUUCAUUUAU